This is a long non-coding RNA of Cyprinus carpio (common carp), 792 nucleotides long. RefSeq lists it as uncharacterized. NCBI's taxonomy places the organism in Eukaryota, Metazoa, Chordata, Actinopteri, Cypriniformes, Cyprinidae. The transcript is spliced from 3 exons. The record is from RefSeq and is a predicted model, not a curated record.
AUGAUGCUAAAAUUCAGCUUUGAUCACAGAAAUAAAUUACAUUUUAAAGUAUAUUAAAAUAGAAAACAGUUAGUUUAAGCUGUACUAGCAUUUCACAGUAUAACUGUUGUUUACUGUAUUUUUUAUUUUAAUCAAAUAACUUGAUUUUUAUUUUAAUCAAAUAAAUGCAGGAUUGAUGAGCAUAAGAGACUUCUUUCAAAAACAUAAAAAAACAGUAAUUUGUCCAAAUUUUUGACAAGUCCUGUAUGUGUGUGUGUCCUUUUAUUUUUUUUCCAUAGGAGAGCUGCUUGGUGUUGACUACCUCCUGAGUCAGACCGGACAGCCCCUGGUGGUGGACCCCGACUCAGAAGAGACAGAGAACAUGCUGGAGGAUGUGGAUGAAGGCGAGGAUGAAGAAGAUUAGGGCUUCGGGGAAGACCAUGACAUUACUGUGUCAAGUCUUACCGAUGACCCAAGCUUCUCUGUCUCCUCCCAUUUUCUGCCCUCCUCUGAGUCUCUCUCCUCCGCCCAGCCUGCUGCCUCCUCCGCCCAGCCUGCUGCCUCCUCCACCCAGCCUGCUGCCUCCUCCACACCAGGUGCAUCAGCAUCUCCUGAUGAGUCUGUGGCUUUGGAUAGUGUUGGUGUGCCAGGCAUGGACAGAGUCGACAGCCUAGCAGAGUAUCUGGUGGAGCUUAGGAACCAGCCCUCUCUGGUCCUCACCAACCAGCAGGUGAGCAAUAUAGUUGCUCUUUGGCAGAACCUGCUUGAUUAUGAUAAGCAAAGGGUGGUGUUUGCUGCCAGACACCAGAGCAG